Molecule: non-coding RNA, 107 nt
Organism: Erinaceus europaeus (western European hedgehog)
Lineage: Eukaryota; Metazoa; Chordata; Mammalia; Eulipotyphla; Erinaceidae
Source: Rfam
AUGCUUGACUCAGCAGCACAUAUACUAAAGUAGGAAUGAUACAGAGAAGAUCAGCAUGGCCUAUGAACAAGGGUGGCAAACAAACCUGUGAAGCAUUCCACAUUUUU